UGGGGAAUUUUGGCCAAUGGGGGAACCCCUGAUCCAGCAAUCCCGCGUGUGCGAUGAAGGCCUUCGGGUUGUAAAGCACUUUUGGCAGGAAAGAAACGUCAUGGGUUAUUACCCCGUGAAACUGACGGUACCUGCAGAAUAAGCACCGGCUAACUACGUGCCAGCAGCCGCGGUAAUACGUAGGGUGCAAGCGUUAAUCGGAAUUACUGGGCGUAAAGCGUGCGCAGGCGGUUCGGAAAGAAAGAUGUGAAAUCCCAGAGCUCAACUUUGGAACUGCAUUUUUAACUACCGGGCUAGAGUGUGUCAGAGGGAGGUGGAAUUCCGCGUGUAGCAGUGAAAUGCGUAGAUAUGCGGAGGAACACCGAUGGCGAAGGCAGCCUCCUGGGAUAACACUGACGCUCAUGCACGAAAGCGUGGGGAGCAAACAGG
This 429-nucleotide ribosomal RNA is filed under the name Acidobacteriota bacterium. RNAcentral describes it as "Acidobacteria bacterium partial 16S ribosomal RNA". It matches the Rfam family "Bacterial small subunit ribosomal RNA", at positions 355 to 776 of the family's 1533-position model. Lineage: Bacteria; Pseudomonadati; Acidobacteriota. The record is from RNAcentral.